RNAcentral lists this ribosomal RNA (253 nucleotides) under uncultured bacterium. RNAcentral's name for it is "partial 16S ribosomal RNA". It matches the Rfam family "Bacterial small subunit ribosomal RNA", at positions 524 to 776 of the family's 1533-position model. The record is from RNAcentral.
UACAGAGGUCUCAAGCGUUGUUCGGAUUCAUUGGGCGUAAAGGGUGCGUAGGCGGCGCGGUAAGUCGGGUGUGAAAUCUCGGAGCUUAACUCCGAAACUGCAUUCGAUACUGCCGUGCUUGAGGACUGGAGAGGAGACUGGAAUUUACGGUGUAGAGGUGAAAUUCGUAGAUAUUCGCAAGAACACCAGUGGCGAAGGCGGCUCACUGGCCCGGUACUGACGCUGAGGCACGAAAGCGUGGGGAGCAAACAGG